This 362-nucleotide ribosomal RNA is filed under the name Acinetobacter baumannii OIFC143. RNAcentral's name for it is "bacterial SSU rRNA". It matches the Rfam family "Bacterial small subunit ribosomal RNA", at positions 40 to 404 of the family's 1533-position model. Lineage: Bacteria; Pseudomonadati; Pseudomonadota; Gammaproteobacteria; Moraxellales; Moraxellaceae. The record is from RNAcentral.
CGGCAGGCUUAACACAUGCAAGUCGAGCGGGGGAAGGUAGCUUGCUACCGGACCUAGCGGCGGACGGGUGAGUAAUGCUUAGGAAUCUGCCUAUUAGUGGGGGACAACAUCUCGAAAGGGAUGCUAAUACCGCAUACGUCCUACGGGAGAAAGCAGGGGAUCUUCGGACCUUGCGCUAAUAGAUGAGCCUAAGUCGGAUUAGCUAGUUGGUGGGGUAAAGGCCUACCAAGGCGACGAUCUGUAGCGGGUCUGAGAGGAUGAUCCGCCACACUGGGACUGAGACACGGCCCAGACUCCUACGGGAGGCAGCAGUGGGGAAUAUUGGACAAUGGGGGGAACCCUGAUCCAGCCAUGCCGCGUGU